CGAGGUGUGGCGCAGUCUGGCUAGCGCACCUGGUUUGGGACCAGGGGGUCGUAGGUUCGAAUCCUGCCACCUCGA
RNAcentral lists this transfer RNA (75 nucleotides) under Deltaproteobacteria bacterium. RNAcentral describes it as "tRNA-Pro". It matches the Rfam family "tRNA". Rfam says of the family: Transfer RNA (tRNA) molecules are approximately 80 nucleotides in length. Their secondary structure includes four short double-helical elements and three loops (D, anti-codon, and T loops). Lineage: Bacteria; Pseudomonadati; Myxococcota; Myxococcia. The record is from RNAcentral.